AACCCAUGGUAAUGGCACCUUCUCAACAGAUCCUUGUAUCUCUCUCAUGCAUCAUAAAGUGUUUCUAGAUCCAUCUACACAAAAGAAGAGAUGUCAUUUCUUAACUU
Gossypium arboreum is the source of this 107-nucleotide non-coding RNA. The record is from Rfam. Lineage: Eukaryota; Viridiplantae; Streptophyta; Magnoliopsida; Malvales; Malvaceae.